UCUAAUAUGGCAGAAUAGUGCAAUGAAUUUAAGAUUCUUUCAUAAAUAAUAAUAUUUUAUUAGAA
Molecule: transfer RNA, 65 nt
Filed under: Atkinsoniella grahami
Lineage: Eukaryota; Metazoa; Arthropoda; Insecta; Hemiptera; Cicadellidae
Description: tRNA-Leu
Source: RNAcentral